AAUCCGUGUUGUGGGCAUUGGCGAAGUAAACCCUUGUAUUGUUCCCAAGCCUCUGAAUAGCAUUCAGAGUCAAUUUGCUAAAAAGCAGUGAUCUCAUCCCUUAGUUU
Molecule: small nucleolar RNA, 107 nt
Filed under: Olea europaea subsp. europaea
Lineage: Eukaryota; Viridiplantae; Streptophyta; Magnoliopsida; Lamiales; Oleaceae
Description: Plant small nucleolar RNA R71
Rfam family: Plant small nucleolar RNA R71
About the family: R71 is a member of the C/D box family of snoRNAs containing the C (UGAUGA) and D (CUGA) box motifs.
Source: Rfam by way of RNAcentral